GUUGUUUCCAAUCUAAAAGAUGAGCUUCAUCCUGUGGUUGGUGAAUGGCAAUUUUAUUAGGGAAAAGUCUUGAGAGAUGCUUUGAAGUCUUGGUAGCUUCUUUGUUUCUGUCCUGCAGCCUACUUAGACUAUCCGGUAAAGAAAUGUCAAAGAAUGCUGACGGGCUGUUUGCAAAUUUUGAAAACAAAAAGCUGCUAGGAUGUGACUUCUCUUUGCGACUGUCAGUCUGGG
RNAcentral lists this unclassified non-coding RNA (231 nucleotides) under Hevea brasiliensis (rubber tree). Lineage: Eukaryota; Viridiplantae; Streptophyta; Magnoliopsida; Malpighiales; Euphorbiaceae. The record is from RNAcentral.